RNAcentral lists this ribosomal RNA (442 nucleotides) under Vibrio japonicus. RNAcentral's name for it is "bacterial SSU rRNA". It matches the Rfam family "Bacterial small subunit ribosomal RNA", at positions 64 to 491 of the family's 1533-position model. The record is from RNAcentral. Lineage: Bacteria; Pseudomonadati; Pseudomonadota; Gammaproteobacteria; Vibrionales; Vibrionaceae.
GAACGAGUUGUCUGAACCUUCGGGGAACGAUAACGGCGUCGAGCGGCGGACGGGUGAGUAAUGCCUGGGAAAUUGCCCUGAUGUGGGGGAUAACCAUUGGAAACGAUGGCUAAUACCGCAUAAUAGCUUCGGCUCAAAGAGGGGGACCUUCGGGCCUCUCGCGUCAGGAUAUGCCCAGGUGGGAUUAGCUAGUUGGUGAGGUAAUGGCUCACCAAGGCGACGAUCCCUAGCUGGUCUGAGAGGAUGAUCAGCCACACUGGAACUGAGACACGGUCCAGACUCCUACGGGAGGCAGCAGUGGGGAAUAUUGCACAAUGGGCGCAAGCCUGAUGCAGCCAUGCCGCGUGUAUGAAGAAGGCCUUCGGGUUGUAAAGUACUUUCAGCAGUGAGGAAGGUGGAUGUGUUAAUAGCACUUUCAUUUGACGUUAGCUGCAGAAGAAGC